AGUGAACGCUGGCGGUAGGCCUAACACAUGCAAGUCGAACGGCAGCACAGUAAGAGCUUGCUCUUACGGGUGGCGAGUGGCGGACGGGUGAGGAAUACAUCGGAAUCUACUUUUUCGUGGGGGAUAACGUAGGGAAACUUACGCUAAUACCGCAUACGACCUACGGGUGAAAGCAGGGGAUCUUCGGACCUUGCGCGAUUGAAUGAGCCGAUGUCGGAUUAGCUAGUUGGCGGGGUAAAGGCCCACCAAGGCGACGAUGCGUAGCUGGUCUGAGAGGAUGAUAGGCCACACUGGAACGUAGAAACGGGCCAGACUCCUACGGGAGGAAGCAGCCGGCGAUAGUGAGCAAUGGGCGCAAGUCGGACGGAGCAACGCAGGGGGAGUGAAGAAGGUCUUCGGAUCGUCAACUGUUCUGACGAGGGAAGAACAAAGGUGUACGGACCUGUGCACAGCAGGACGGUCCCUAAUCAGAAAGACACGGCUAACUACGUG
This 492-nucleotide ribosomal RNA is filed under the name uncultured bacterium. Its description in RNAcentral is "partial 16S ribosomal RNA". It matches the Rfam family "Bacterial small subunit ribosomal RNA", at positions 29 to 507 of the family's 1533-position model. The record is from RNAcentral.